AUUGAGAUCUAUUCCUAUGAGGCUUUUUCUGUAAACCUACAUCAUUGGAAAUGCCUCAUAGAGUAACUAUGUUGUUUCCUUUACUGAUAGAAAUACUACAUGUUAGGUCUGGGGGGAAGAACUACAAGACAUGA
This 134-nucleotide small nucleolar RNA is filed under the name Catagonus wagneri (Chacoan peccary). The record is from RNAcentral. Lineage: Eukaryota; Metazoa; Chordata; Mammalia; Artiodactyla; Tayassuidae.